CUUCACCGACCCCAACCACAGCGGCUCGGCGCGGUCCUGGCCGUAGGUCGCCAGCAACGCCUGCGCCUC
This 69-nucleotide antisense RNA is filed under the name Saccharothrix saharensis. Its description in RNAcentral is "ASpks TB sRNA". It matches the Rfam family "ASpks TB sRNA". The record is from RNAcentral. Lineage: Bacteria; Bacillati; Actinomycetota; Actinomycetes; Pseudonocardiales; Pseudonocardiaceae.